RNAcentral lists this small nuclear RNA (19 nucleotides) under Arabidopsis thaliana (thale cress). Its description in RNAcentral is "snRNA_02207". The record is from RNAcentral. Lineage: Eukaryota; Viridiplantae; Streptophyta; Magnoliopsida; Brassicales; Brassicaceae.
UCUUAUAGUUUUGUAUCGU